UUAAUCAUGUGCUUGAUGCUACACUGUAGCUUGCUUGCUAACUAAGUUGUCAGCUAAUGUUAGCAUGGUAAACAAUGGUUUGAUAAAUUCCAUGUCUAUAUGGAGCGCAGAGUCGCUAUGCACGGUUCAGAAGUGCAUUGGGAGCAUCAACAACAAAACAGCUGAUUGUCAGAGAACUUUGAACCACUAUUCAUUUAUGCAUUACAUCAAAAAUAAAUACUGCUAACUACCGUAAUUUAUUUUUUAUGGCCAUAUAACGUUACCCUUCAGGGUUUCCCAUAAAUGUAUUUAAGUGUGCCCCACCCACCAUGUCAUUUUGUCAAGGCAUUUGCUAGUUAUGUUAGGUACACAUAGACAAAACUAAUGCAAUGAAAUACAAUGGCUCUGCAUUAAAACCUUUCUUUGAUAGGUAUUGUGGUGGUAAGUUUAUUGAAUUUGUUUGACAGAGGUAUUUAAUUUAAUGGUCAAUUUGAAGGCUGCUUAUGGUGCUAGUUAACCAUGGGGUUAUACUGAGAGAUCUUCUUAACAUUUUGUCAACUGUACUUUUUUUUAUACAUGUAUAGGAUGGACUAAAUAUUUUGAACACUUCUCAGUGUAAAUUAUACCAUGACUCAAAAAGACGUUAAAAACUCAUUAUAAUACUCAUGAAGGAAGGAUUUAUUUCAGAGCUACACUGAAUUAGUUCUUGGUGAACCUUAUAAACUGACAACUGUGUAAGUGUAUACCUUUUUUUACACAGUCUAUGGUGUAUAUACCUGCACAUGCCCCCACACAGUGUUCAGUACAUUUUGUGCAUUUUUUACAUUCACAACGUUGACCCUGCAUAUUCCUCACAAAAUGUAUAACAACUAAUUUGUUUAUCUCCAAAUGCUAAAUUCUUACAGCUGUUGUCCUGUGAAGCUGGUGCUGAGGUACUGAGGUUCCACCAACCACAACAUCUAUUGAGCCGUAGACUACGACACAGAAGAGGAGCUCACUGGCCCUGUGUUGCAUUUAAAUCACGCCUUACAUUGCCGGACUGUAAGAAGACAUCAACCUUUUUCUGUGAGUUACGCGAAUUUGGAGAAACUUGGACUGAGCACAGAUUCCAUCUUGAAUGAUACAGUCAUGUGUUUCUUUAAUGUUUGUUAAAAAUAAACAUGGAAAUUUGC
Long non-coding RNA from Micropterus salmoides (largemouth bass), 1151 nucleotides. RefSeq lists it as uncharacterized. The record is from RefSeq and is a predicted model, not a curated record. NCBI's taxonomy places the organism in Eukaryota, Metazoa, Chordata, Actinopteri, Centrarchiformes, Centrarchidae. The transcript is spliced from 2 exons.